Molecule: long non-coding RNA, 678 nt
Filed under: Heterocephalus glaber (naked mole-rat)
Lineage: Eukaryota; Metazoa; Chordata; Mammalia; Rodentia; Bathyergidae
Description: lncRNA (ENSHGLG00000035880.1)
Source: RNAcentral
CUCUGUUGGUGCCAACCUGUGUCACAGGCGUGGGACCUCUGGAAGUCCACAGGCCGAUUAAGCAGAAGCUUUGCACAAGGGAUGCUUUGAUUUCUUGUCUCCACCUGACAGAUACCUCCCACGAAUGUUAUCUCAUGUGGAAAAGAGAACUGGACAACUAUUUCGCUAAAACAGGAAGAUCAUAGGAAUCUACCAUCCAGUUCCAGCACAGCGGUGGUCCAGGAACCCACAUGGGGAUGCCAGGGCUGCUGGGACCCACACACUGUCGGGAGCACUCACAUCCUGGGUAUCCCAGGGAUCCACCUCCUUCCUUCUCUUCCCAAAGUUGCUACCUUCCAGUGUCUGGAUUCCAAGUUGGAGAGGCUGACUAGUUGCUGCUUACCACUCCACCAUCUUCCUGGAAGCAAGUUCACUAUUCCUGUUGUCUUUGUCUCUGACUGAGAGCUGCCUGAGGUGCUGAGCAAAGGCUGUGUUUUGCCCGGACACCAUCCCUUCCUCCACAGCUUGAUUUUGAUGUCCUCCAUCUCCCUAUCACCAAGGCAGGAGGCCUCUCCCCACUGUGCUCCAUACAGUCUGAGGCCAACCCAGCAGUCUCUAGUCACAAAUGCCUGCUGAGAAUCAGCUUUGUGGCUGCCACUGUGUCAUGGCUCAUGGGGCGAGGAGGUGGAGAACGAAAAG